This 629-nucleotide ribosomal RNA is filed under the name uncultured archaeon. RNAcentral describes it as "bacterial SSU rRNA". It matches the Rfam family "Archaeal small subunit ribosomal RNA", at positions 54 to 689 of the family's 1478-position model. The record is from RNAcentral.
CGAGUMMUUGYAGCAAUGCAAGGCAGACGGCUCAGUAACGCGUAGUCAACCUAACCUAUGGAUGGGAAUAACCUCGGGAAACUGAGUAUAAUGCCUGAUAGAACACUAUACCUGGAAUGGUUUGUGUUCCAAAUGAUUUAUCGCCGUAGGAUGGGACUGCGGCCUAUCAGUUUGUUGGUGAGGUAAUGGCCCACCAAGACUAUUACAGGUACGGGCUCUGAGAGGAGUAGCCCGGAGAUGGGUACUGAGACACGGACCCAGGCCCUAUGGGGCGCAGCAGGCGAGAAAACUUUGCAAUGUGCGAAAGCACGACAAGGUUAAUCCGAGUGGUUUCUGCUAAAGGAACCUUUUGUUAGUCCUAGAAACACUAACGAAUAAGGGGUGGGCAAGUUCUGGUGUCAGCCGCCGCGGUAAAACCAGCACCUCAAGUGGUCAGGAUGAUUAUUGGGCCUAAAGCAUCCGUAGCCGGCUCUGUAAGUUUUCGGUUAAAUCURUACGCUCAACGUACAGGCUGCCGGGAAUACUGCAGAGCUAGGGAGUGGGAGAGGUAGACGGUACUCGGGAGGAAGUGGUAAAAUGCUUUGAUCUCUCGAUGACCACCUGUGGCGAAGGCGGUCUACCAGAACACG